RNAcentral lists this long non-coding RNA (715 nucleotides) under Panax ginseng (ginseng). RNAcentral's name for it is "long non-coding RNA (PGIN_LNC018025)". The record is from RNAcentral. Lineage: Eukaryota; Viridiplantae; Streptophyta; Magnoliopsida; Apiales; Araliaceae.
CACCAUUGUGUAGCAGUACCAGCGGAGUCCUCAACAUUUAAUAGCGGAGCUCCUUUUUACACUAAUUUUCCAUGUUACUCUCUCUUUUCUUUUCUUUUUUGUAACUUCAAAAACUGAAUGAGUUCAAGUCAGCAAUUUAUGACAUGGCUCAUUGAUUUUUCCAAAAUUAAAAGUAAGGUCACCGAAGUAGAAUAUUGGUAGUAAAUAGUAAUAUUUAAUUAAGCCUUCAUUCUGUGUAUAUUCCCAUACACACACAAGUGAGUGAGAGUGUGCGUGCAUGUGUAUGUUUGUCCAUAAUAUAUAUAUAUAUAUAUAUAUAUAUAUAUAUAUAUAUAUAUAGUGGAGUGAUCUAUAGCCACUAUAGGCCAUUUUUUAGCUAACCCAUCCAUUGUCAUCCAUGAAGUUCAAGGAUAUUAAUCUGUCCACCAUUGUGUAGCAGUACCAGCGGAGUCCUCAACAUUAAAUAGCGGAGCUCCUUUUUACACUAAUUUUCCAUGUUACUCUCUCUUUUCUUUUCUUUUUUGUAACUUCAAAAACUGAAUGAGUUCAAGUCAGCAAUUUAUGACAUGGCUCAUUGAUUUUUCCAAAAUUAAAAGUAAGGUCACCGAAGUAGAAUAUUGGUAGUAAAUAGUAAUAUUUAAUUAAGCCUUCAUUCUGUGUAUAUUCCCAUACACACACAAGUGAGUGAGAGUGUGCGUGCAUGUGUAUGUUUGUC